Molecule: ribosomal RNA, 439 nt
Filed under: uncultured bacterium
Lineage: Bacteria
Description: partial 16S ribosomal RNA
Rfam family: Bacterial small subunit ribosomal RNA
Source: RNAcentral
CUACGGGGGGCUGCAGUGAGGAAUAUUGCACAAUGGGGGGAACCCUGAUGCAGCAACGCCGCGUGGAGGAUGACACUUUUCGGAGCGUAAACUCCUUUUAUAUAGGAAGAAGAUGACGGUACUAUAUGAAUAAGCGCCGGCUAACUCCGUGCCAGCAGCCGCGGUAAUACGGAGGGCGCAAGCGUUACUCGGAAUCACUGGGCGUAAAGAGCGUGUAGGCGGAUUAAAAAGUCAGAAGUGGAAUCCUAUAGCUUAACUAUAGAACUGCUUCUGAAACUCUUAAUCUAGAAUAUGGGAGAGGUAGAUGGAAUUUCUGGUGUAGGGGUAAAAUCCGUAGAGAUCAGAAGGAAUAUCGAUUGCGAAGGCGAUCUACUAGAACAUUAUUGACGCUGAGACGCGAAAGCGUGGGGAGCAAACAGGAUUAGAUACCCGGGUAGUC